RNAcentral lists this ribosomal RNA (254 nucleotides) under uncultured bacterium. RNAcentral's name for it is "partial 16S ribosomal RNA". It matches the Rfam family "Bacterial small subunit ribosomal RNA", at positions 524 to 776 of the family's 1533-position model. The record is from RNAcentral.
UACGGGGGGGGCAAGCGUUGUUCGGAAUUACUGGGCGGAAAGGGCGCGUAGGCGGUCAGCACAAGUCAGUUGUGAAAUCUCCGGGCUUAACUCGGAAAGGUCAACUGAUACUGUGCGACUAGAGUGCAGAAGGGGCAACUGGAAUUCUCGGUGUAGCGGUGAAAUGCGUAGAUAUCGAGAGGAACACCGGUGGCGAAGGCGGCAUCCUGGACCAAUAUUGACGCUGAGGAGCGAAAGCCAGGGGAGCAAACGGG